AGUGGCGGACGGGCGAGUAACGCGUGAAUAACCUGCCCAUAAGAGGGGGAUAAUCCAUGGAAACGUGGACUAAUACCGCAUAUUAUGGAUGGAUUCGCGUCUGAUUAGAUAGUUGGUGAGGUAACGGCUCACCAAGUCGACGAUCAGUAGCCGAACUGAAGGUUGAUCGGCCGCAUUGGGACUGAGACACGGCCCAGACUCCUACGGGAGGCAGCAGUGGGGAAUAUUGCGCAAUGGGGGAAACCCUGACGCAGCAACGCCGCGUGCAGGAAGAAGGUCUUCGGAUUGUAAACUGUUGUCGCAAGGGAAGCGGUACCUUGUGAGAAAGUCACGGCUAACUACGUGCCAGCAGCCGCGGUAAUACGUAGGUGACAAGCGUUGUCCGGAUCUACUGGGUGUAAAGGGCGCGUAGGCGGGAUAGCAAGUCAGUCGUGAAAUACCGAGGCUCAACCUCGGGGCUGCGAUUGAAACUGUUAUUCUUGAGUAUCGGAGAGGAAAGCGGAAUUCCUAGUGUAGCGGUGAAAUGCGUAGAUAUUAUGAGGAACACCAGUGGCGAAGGCGGCUUUCUGGACGACAACUGACGCUGAGGCGCGAAAGUGUGGGGAGCAAACAGGAUUAGAUACCCUGGUAGUCCACACCGUAAACGAUGGAUACUAGGUGUAGGA
This 665-nucleotide ribosomal RNA is filed under the name uncultured bacterium. RNAcentral describes it as "bacterial SSU rRNA". It matches the Rfam family "Bacterial small subunit ribosomal RNA", at positions 94 to 827 of the family's 1533-position model. The record is from RNAcentral.